Molecule: ribosomal RNA, 450 nt
Filed under: Promuscidea sp. RDB-1999
Lineage: Eukaryota; Metazoa; Arthropoda; Insecta; Hymenoptera; Pirenidae
Description: eukaryotic LSU rRNA
Source: RNAcentral
CCUGAGAAACCCAAAAGAUCGAAUGGGGAGAUUCAGCGUCAGCGGAGUUGGCUUGCGUGUGACUCGCGAUGCUCGGGGCCUCGGCCUCGCGGCACGCGGUCGCUGCGUCAUGUCCGGCUCCGUCGGCGUGCACUUCUCCCCUAGUAGGACGUCGCGACCCGUUGGGUGCCGGCCUACGGCCCGAAUGGUCGACUGUCUCGAGCGCGUUCACGCGCGCACGAGGCAGACCUUCGGUUGCCCGGCCGGCUGCCCGGCGGUAUCGAACGCUUUGAACGGUUAAAGAGCCGCACACUAUUGCAGCGUGCGUUCUUGGCUCGCCUUGCAGGCUCGUCUCGCUCGGAUUUACGGACCUAGCGCCGUUGCCGGGUGCUUGACGUGGCCUUUAGCAAGCGAUGUCCUCGGACGGGCUCUUCUUUACCAGUCGGCGACGCUUUUGCUUUGGGUACUUUC